UCAAAACUGAACCGAAAAUGCAAGACUCGCUUUAAUUGUUUUCCUUCAAUUUCUUUUUGUAUUAUUUGCUAUUAUAGAACUCGUGUUAUUUAUACUGUGCUAGAUCAAUACAUAUAAACACUGAAGGAAAAUAAUUAAAGCAAGUCUUGCAUUUUCGGGUCAGUUUUGA
RNAcentral lists this microRNA precursor (169 nucleotides) under Paramuricea clavata. The record is from RNAcentral. Lineage: Eukaryota; Metazoa; Cnidaria; Anthozoa; Malacalcyonacea; Plexauridae.